GCUAAUUAAUCUUCUGUUCUUCUGUCAGAUGAGAUCUUUGAGCAGAUCUUGUCCUCCACUUCUGAUAAACUGAAGGAAUCUCGAGACAUCUUGAACAAGAUCAUCAGAAGAAAACUGCCAAAGUUUGUUGGAGAAGCUCGACUGACUGAAAAAAACAUCUCAAAGGAAGAGCUGACAGACACAUGGAAAGCUGCAGUAGAGAAGUACAAACCUACAGACCCCACUGUUUCUCUGAACACUGACGAUUUACCACUUUAUGUGGUUGAUCUGGAUCACGGCAUGAAGGACAAAAACCCCAUUGAAAACGUCUAUUUCUACAGCAAGAGGAAACCCAACGAAGCUUCUGCCAUUAAGGAUUAUCAGCUGUCCAGUUUCCUGCCAAAGAGGUUUAAUGAAGAGCUGGUCAGAGUUUACUACAAAAGAACUGAUGGGAAUAAAGAGGAGCAGAAGAAGAAAGUGGAGGAGGCUGAGAAGUGCUUUCAGAUAUGGUGUGACUCCAGUUUUGGACUCCAUUAAUGUGCAUUUGGUUUAUAAUAUAUUAUAUUUUAGUCACUAUCAGUACUGUGUCUGCAGUUGUUGUGAUACAGAUUAGAUGUUUAAUGACUAAACUAAAGGGACUAACCUUGCUGAAAUUGGAAAGAUAGAUUCAUGGUUCGGUGAAUAUAACUCAAAAAUGUAUGAUCCUUUUUUUUUUCUAUUUGAAAAUGAAUUACUUGAGCUUGAAAAUAUUAAUGAAAUUAGUAAAGGGUGUCAGUGAUCUAAAACAAUUCGAUUCAGACAUCACUCUGCAUGUAGUGAGAGACCUUCUUCUAACAGAUCGAAUAAUAAAAACUGUACUAUUUACUAUUUUACUUUAACUAUUUGUAUAAUUUUCCCAUGAAGUAUUG
Long non-coding RNA from Cyprinus carpio (common carp), 887 nucleotides. RefSeq lists it as uncharacterized. The record is from RefSeq and is a predicted model, not a curated record. Lineage: Eukaryota; Metazoa; Chordata; Actinopteri; Cypriniformes; Cyprinidae. The transcript is spliced from 4 exons.